GUCUUUAUAUUGCUGUCCGCGAUCGGUUGGUUUGGAAGAGCAGGCGGCAAGCAUUGCCACAACCGUGCCCAUAAGAAGGUACUUUACCCAACGUCCUUUCAUUGUUCUCUUCUUCAGGUUAAAAAAUAAGGCGCAACGAAGAUAACAAACCACCGCGUUUAAUGAAAUGAGCAGCCUCUCCCUGACGCAAAUUUUGCACAAAAAAUAGGCUUUAGUGAUUUGUUUUUGUUCAAAAUCAUGCCAGAUCCGUGAUCGGGGUAAAAAAAAGGUUGCAUGAAAACGCGAGCGGAGUAUAGUGCGCAUCCACGGACGCGGGGUGGAGCAGCCUGGUAGCUCGUCGGGCUCAUAACCCGAAGGUCGUCGGUUCAAAUCCGGCCCCCGCAACCAAUCAAAUUUGAUGAAGUAAAAGCAGUACGGUGACGCGGGGUGGAGCAGCCUGGUAGCUCGUCGGGCUCAUAACCCGAAGGUCGUCGGUUCAAAUCCGGCCCCCGCAACCAAUUAUUGAACACCCUAACGGGUGUUUUUUUGUUUCUGGUCUNNNNNNNNNCA
This 549-nucleotide transfer RNA is filed under the name Escherichia coli T924_01. RNAcentral's name for it is "partial 23S ribosomal RNA". The stretch from base 311 to 384 matches the Rfam family "tRNA". The record is from RNAcentral. Lineage: Bacteria; Pseudomonadati; Pseudomonadota; Gammaproteobacteria; Enterobacterales; Enterobacteriaceae.